AGAUUUGCGCAGUGGCAAUGUGGUAGCUGAAGAGGUUUAUCCGAGGCGCGAUUAUUGCUAAUUGAAAGCUAAAAAAGAGCAACAUCCUGGGCCCUGGUGAGGCUGCAUAGUCUGAGGAAAUAACGCAGGCUCCGUUUGCAGUUCUAGCGUUAGA
Fukomys damarensis (Damara mole-rat) is the source of this 154-nucleotide small nuclear RNA. Its record names the gene U4. It matches the Rfam family "U4 spliceosomal RNA". Rfam says of the family: U4 small nuclear RNA (U4 snRNA) is a component of the major U2-dependent spliceosome. Lineage: Eukaryota; Metazoa; Chordata; Mammalia; Rodentia; Bathyergidae. The record is from Ensembl.